This 460-nucleotide ribosomal RNA is filed under the name uncultured bacterium. RNAcentral describes it as "partial 16S ribosomal RNA". It matches the Rfam family "Bacterial small subunit ribosomal RNA", at positions 338 to 795 of the family's 1533-position model. The record is from RNAcentral.
CCUACGGGAGGCAGCAGUGAGGAAUAUUGGUCAAUGGGCGCGAGCCUGAACCAGCCAAGUCGCGUGAGGGAAGACGGCCCUACGGGUUGUAAACCUCUUUUGCCGGGGAGCAACGGGCGCCACGUGUGGCGCCACUGAGAGUACCCGGCGAAAAAGCAUCGGCUAACCCCGUGCCAGCAGCCGCGGUAAUACGAAGGAUGCGACCGUUCUCCGGAUUUUUUGGGUUUAAAGGGGUCGUAGGCGGAGCGUUAAGUCAGUGGUAAACUUGAGGGGUUCAACCCCUUCCCGCCAUUGAAACUGGCGGUCUGGAGAGGAAGAGAGGUAUGCGGAAUGCGUGGUGUAGCGGUGAAAUGCAUAGAUAUCACGCAGAACCCCGAUUGCGAAGGCAGCAUGCCGGCUUCCUACUGACGCUGAAGCACGAAAGCGUGGGGAUCGAACAGGAUUAGAUACCCCUGUAGUC